ACAUGCAAGUCGAACGGAGAUAAAGAUUCGGUUUUAUCUUAGUGGCGCACGGGUGAGUAACACGUGAAUAACCUGACCCAAAGAGGGGGAUAACACCUGGAAACAGGUGCUAAUACCGCAUAAGACCACAAUGUCGCAUGACGAAGGGGUCAAAGAAAAUCGCUUUGGGAGGGGUUCGCGUCCCAUUAGGUAGUAGGCGGGGUAACAGCCCACCUAGCCGACGAUGGGUAGCCGAGCUGAGAGGCUGAUCGGCCACACUGGAACUGAGACACGGUCCAGACUCC
RNAcentral lists this ribosomal RNA (284 nucleotides) under uncultured bacterium. RNAcentral's name for it is "partial 16S ribosomal RNA". It matches the Rfam family "Bacterial small subunit ribosomal RNA", at positions 53 to 339 of the family's 1533-position model. The record is from RNAcentral.